GACAGAGGGUGCAAACGUUGCUCGGAAUUACUGGGCGUAAAGGGCGUGUAGGCGGGAAGGCAAGUCGGGCGUGAAAGCCCCAGGCUCAACCUGGGAACUGCACUCGAAACUGCCUUUCUUGAGUGCCGGAGAGGAAAGCGGAAUUCCGUGGUGUAGAGGUGAAAUUCGUAGAUAUCAGGAGGAACACCAGUGGCGAAGGCGGCUUUCUGGACGGUAACUGACGCUGAGACGCGAAAGCGUGGGGAGCAAACAGG
RNAcentral lists this ribosomal RNA (254 nucleotides) under uncultured bacterium. RNAcentral's name for it is "partial 16S ribosomal RNA". It matches the Rfam family "Bacterial small subunit ribosomal RNA", at positions 524 to 776 of the family's 1533-position model. The record is from RNAcentral.